RNAcentral lists this transfer RNA (69 nucleotides) under Heterocephalus glaber (naked mole-rat). It matches the Rfam family "tRNA". Rfam says of the family: Transfer RNA (tRNA) molecules are approximately 80 nucleotides in length. Their secondary structure includes four short double-helical elements and three loops (D, anti-codon, and T loops). Lineage: Eukaryota; Metazoa; Chordata; Mammalia; Rodentia; Bathyergidae. The record is from Rfam by way of RNAcentral.
GGGGUUAUAGCUCAAUGGCAGAGCACUUGCUUAGCAAGCACAAGGGUCUGGGUUUAAUCCCCAGUACCA